This is a long non-coding RNA of Ahaetulla prasina, 3724 nucleotides long. RefSeq lists it as uncharacterized. Lineage: Eukaryota; Metazoa; Chordata; Lepidosauria; Squamata; Colubridae. The transcript has 5 exons. The record is from RefSeq and is a predicted model, not a curated record.
UCCAGCCCGUCUUUCAGAUGGAACCUACACAGACUUUCAAGUCGAAGCUGAGAGGCAACGGCUACGUGCAACUUCUGUUUGUCACCACACAGCAGCACACUGCCUCCAUUUCCUUCUAAGUAAUUCCAAAGGGAAAUGUAAUGCUUUCAAAGUUGUUCUUCCCACCACACCCAAUUCUUUCUCAAAAGCAGAGCCACUCCUUGUUUCUUUUUUCUUUUUUCUAAUCUCCAAGAAAGGUGAAAACUUCCCGCUUGCAGGGAAAUUGCCUGGGUUUCACUCUAUUUGCUGCCAAAUCCUUCACAAGGCCGGGCUGCGUUGUCCUCAACCUUGGUGCCUCUCCUGGAAGGAGAGGGACAGAAAUCUCUUUCUCAUCAUCUGCCAGUCACAAGACAAUUUCAACAGAGGGUAAGAACACAAGACGUAGAAUUUCCUCAAGAUUCCUCAAAAUUUCUUUUGCUGCUGGGAGCAGCAAAGAAGACUGCUGAUCUUCGCCCAUCCCAAGUGCAAGCAAGGAUAGACUUCAUAAGACCAUUUAAAAGAAAAUUUGGGGAGGGGUCUCGAAAGAGGCAGGAAGAAAAAUUUAGUGAAGAUGCCUCAAAGCACAGAGAACCAACUCAUAACUGGAUUUAGAGUCCUGUCUAACCUGUUUUGCGGUGUAAAGGAAGAAGCGUGGUUCUCUGCUUAGACGUGAAAACAGUCUGGCAACUUAUAGGAGUGCCGCAGCUAAAGAUGCAGGCCAAAGUACAAGCAAGAAAAUUUAGCCAACCAUAGCUGAAGAGGCUCACCUCCUCCCUGCCCCAUGUGGCAUAUCUGGGCCAAUCACUAUGCUACACCCAGCUGUUCUGCUCUGCGCCUGCAUCCAAUGACUGACAGCAGUGCACUGUUACUGCAGAAGGUGUCAUCCAUCAAUGGAGAAAUAGAGCUUUGCAGUGUACCAGAAACUUUAGACAGCUUAAAUCCAUCUUAACAUCUGCAUUUUCUCCUUUCACAAGGCACUCUUUUAAAUUGGGAGGAGGGGGUGUUCAGAAAAUGCACACACACACAGAAGAAUAAACAGAAAAAAAAAUCAAAACAUUCAUGAAACUUUCUGUCAAGACAGCUGGUUUUCACUUACCAAAACCCCAAAACAAUAUAAGUGCCUGCCAGCAAGUUUUUAGUUAAUGUGGCUUCUUUUCCUCCAGCAUUUUAAAGGGCCAGGUGAAAGCUAAUUCAACGAAUUGUUAACAUGUCUCUCAAUUGAUGCCACUGUAAAAAUAAAAUAUAAUGUGGCAAAAUGAAAAAUAUACCUAGAGAAUGCCGGCUUGCUGAGAAUUUUGGGACCAAACUUUGCAAACUGCUUAUGGAGUGAGGCAGGUGGUACUUCUAAUCUGAAGACUCUUCCAACUUCUCUAAAGAACGUGUAUUUUUAAAUUAUUAAUUACAUGCAUGGGCGUGAACUUUGAACUUGUAUGCGCACAAGUAACAAAGCUCUUGGCAGCAGAAAUGGACAUAACAAACCAGGAACUGGCUGAAGAACCCACAAUUACUUUGCUCAUUUGCAAGAUUCAGUCUUAUAUAAUAAGCAACAUCUUAAUAAAAAUUGUUUUAAAAUUGAGCACAACUAAAAAAAAUACAGUCAGAAGACCACAAAACUUUCAAAAGGAUUGUUGUGUUGUUUGAAACUUCCAAAAAUGUAACAAUUUGUUGGCAAACAUCUUACCCUACCAACAUUGUGUUUUCUUAAGGGCAGCCAAUGACAAAUAGACCCUAUCAACAGUUUUUACAGUGACUGUACCAAGAAUUAUGCUAUUUGCUCUUGGACAAACAAAUGUCUGCAUUACAAAUUCAAACAGUACAUAUUGACAACAAAGAACUGCUAUUAGAAGGUGACUACCUCACUAAUCCUCCAUUAUUUUAAAAUAUACACACAGUUCAUCUUCUAUUCUCUAUCUUGCUUUAACAAUAACUUGAGACAUUAGCAUUCUUUCCAGUUGCAAAACCAGCAAUCUAGUCUCAUACUUAUCUGCCAUUAUGAAUUAAGGUAAAUAACGGAUGGGCUUGUUUCCUCAAGAAAAGUAUCUGACACUGAAACAAAACACCAACACAAUUAGGAAGGGAAGGGUUGUGCAAAGAAAGAAUAUGGCCCAAAAGAGAUAGGCAACUCUCACAGAAAGUUACUUUCAGUACCUUAUAAAUACACAAGCCAAUAAUACAUAUUCAAGAUGGUAGCUUGUAGACAGAGGUAGCCUGGAUGUAGUUAAUCACAAAUCAGAAGUCAAUACACAGCAAUUUGAAGAAUAGAAAUUACUGAAGAAAAUCAGACCCCAAAGGUUAGUAAGUCUCCCACUAUGUUAGACUAUAAUCAAUCAUAAAUGCACAUUUAUUCUGAAGAAAUUUAACAAUGAAUUAGUUACUGAUGGCAGUGGAAUAUUAAUUGGUUUUUCCAACUCAAUGCAAUAUUUAUAAAAGAAUAUAUUCAUGUAAUUGUUGUAUUUUUAGUUACUAGGAAAAACUAUUCAUGAAGAAAUUAUGUGGUCACUAAGAGAUGAAGAUGACUCAAUGGCACAUAAUCAAUUAAUGAAAAUUUAUACAUAAACCAGUCCAAUGUUUUGUGAUGGAUAUAUGCACAACCCUUUUUUCCCUACCUCUGCUUGGUCUAGAGGCCACCCUUAGGCAUUUGGAAAGUAUCAUAGAACUGCUGAUACCAUACAUGAUAUAACCAUUGUGCACUCUUUCUGUAAAAAAUAAGCAAAAGUUGCCAUUGUAUCCAAAAGAGUUCAGACACAAUGUUUUUAAGAGCGAAAUGAUCUCGAGUAAACAUUCCAAAUCAAAAUUCCCAAUUAUGAUAGAAACACAAUUCCUAUAGUGAAUAAAUAUAUACAGUAGCAGCAUAUAUACCAUAAUUCACCACCUGCAUUCAACACUAUUCUGCUAAAUCAUAAUCACUGCAUACAAAAAAAAAAGAUGAACCAGAUCUGGUACAAUUCAAGUUAUAAUUCUGAGUAGGUACUCAGAAUUGAGGUUCUUCCUUCUCCACUCCAGGGGAAGGUUACUGCAAAAUCCCCAUUUCCUUCCAAUCAGCUGGGACUUGGGAGGCAGAGAAUAGAUGGUGGUGGGGCCAGUCAGAAGUGGUAUUUAUCGGUUCUCCGAACUACUCAAAAUUUCCGCUACCAGUCUCCAGAACCAGACAGAACCUGCUGAAUACCACCUCUGAAGUGUACCAUAGACAGGAACCAUGUCCAAACUUGUUUUAUGAACAUACUUCCAUUUUCUCUAAUGAAGAUUCACGUUUAAUGUUUGUCCAAAUUUUAAAACACGCUCAGCAAAGAUUUGUACUUCCUUUUGUUAAACAGUAUGUAUUGGCCAGAGUAAUUUUGGCAACUAGAAUAUGGCAAAGUAUUUUAAAUGUGUUUGUUUUGUGCCUUUGAGUCAGUACUGACUCCUGAUGACUGCAUGGACCAGUCUCUGCAGUUAUCUGGCAAGCUUUCAGAAGUGGUUCCCCACUGCCUGCUUCCUAUGGCUGACGGAGAGUAAGUGGCCAAAGAUCACACAGAUGCCCAAGAACAGACUAGAACUCACAGGCCUCCAGGUUCUACAAUGACUUUAACCACCACAUCAUUUUAAUUUGGGAAAGUAUAUAUCUACAUGCAUUCUUGAGAAUAAGACCUAGACAUAUCAAACUCUUUUGAAUUGCAGAGGUGGGUUUCAGCCGGUUCUGACCAGUUCUGGAGAACCAGUAGUGGAA